This 1371-nucleotide ribosomal RNA is filed under the name uncultured organism. RNAcentral describes it as "bacterial SSU rRNA". It matches the Rfam family "Bacterial small subunit ribosomal RNA", at positions 56 to 1430 of the family's 1533-position model. The record is from RNAcentral.
UGCAAGUCGUGCGAGAAGCCUCUUCGGAGGGUGGAAGGGCGAAAGGAGAGUACGCGUGGAUACAACCCCCAGGAACGGGAUAGCCGCGGGAAACCGCGGGUAAUACCGGAUAAUGUCUCCGGACCAAAGGUGUGAUUCCGCCUGGGGACGGGUCCGCGUCCUAUUAGCUUGUUGGUGAGGUAACGGCUCACCAAGGCGACGAUGGGUACCGGGUGUGAGAGCAUGACCCGGCUCACUGGGACUGAGACACUGCCCAGACACCUACGGGUGGCUGCAGUCGAGAAUCUUCGGCAAUGGACGCAAGUCCGACCGAGCGACGCCGCGUGCGGGAUGAAGGCCUUCGGGUUGUAAACCGCUGUCAGAGGGGAGGAAAUCCUGUGGGGUUCUCUCCACAGGUUGACCUAUCCUCAGAGGAAGUACGGGCUAAGUUCGUGCCAGCAGCCGCGGUAAGACGAACCGUACAAACGUUAUUCGGAAUCACUGGGCUUAAAGGGUGCGUAAGCGGCCCUGCCAGUUGGGUGUGAAAGCCCUCGGGUCAACCGAGGAAUUGCGCCCAAAACUGCGGGGCUUGAGGGAGACCGAGGUGAGCGGAACUUAAGGUGGACCGGGUGAAAUGCGUGGAUAUCCUGAGGAACCACAUGUACCGAAACCGGCUCCACUGGGGUCUCUUCGGACCCUGAGGCACGAAAGUUAGGGGACCGAACGGGAUUAGAUACCCCCGGUAGUCCUAGCUGUAAACGUUGAGCACUUGGUCGGAGAGUCAUCCAUAGCUUUCCGGUCGCAAGGGAAAGUGAUAAGUGCUUCCGCCUGGGGAGUAUGUUCGCAAGCCUGAAACUCAAAGGAAUUGACGGGGGCUCACACCAAGCGGUGGAGGAUGUGGCUUAAUUCGAGGCUACGCGUAGAACCUUAUCCUGGGCUUGACAUGCACGGAUUAACCUCGUGAAAGCGAGGCGACGCCUUCGGGUGGAACGUGCACAGUUGCUGCAUGGCUGUCGUCAGCUCGUGUCGUGAGAUGUCGGGUUAAGUCCCUUAACGAGCGAAACCCUUGUCACUAGUUGCCAGCGGGUAAUGCCGGGGACUCUAGUGAGACUGCCGGUGUUAAACCGGAGGAAGGUGGGGAUGACGUCAAGUCAUCAUGGCAUUUAUGUCCAGGGCUGCACACGUCCUACAAUGGCGCGUACAAAGGGAAGCGAACUCGCGAGAGCAAGCAAAUCCCACAAAGCGCGCCCCAGUUCGGAUUGCAGGCUGCAACUCGCAUGCAUGAAGCCGGAAUCGCUAGUAAUCGCAGGUCAGCAUACUGCGGUGAAUAUGUUCCUGAGCAUUGUACACACCGCCCGUCAAGCCACGAAAGUGGGGAGCAUCCGAAGUCGC